CAGGUAUAGUGAGAAUGGUUUUCUUACGAAAGAGUAAAAAGAGUAAAGUAAACAAGAGAAAGCAGAAAACAGAACAAGAGACAGAAAACUAAGAGCAAGUGAUAGGUCAGAGUAAGUUAAAAAGAAAAGGUUAGAGUUGUCUGGGAAUGGAUGGUAGGUGAGGCAGAGAAAAAGGGUUAGCUUUUUCCAUAGAUUCCCGAGGGAAGUUCCAUUUGCUUUAGCUUGGAUCUUCACCCUGACAUAGUAGAGCCUAACACAUUAAGCACAGUGACGUCAGAUACGUUCACUUAGAAGUGCUCAGAUGUGUAAGUUAGUUGUUUUGAACCUCAGUGUUUCGCUUUCCUUGUUGUUGUGAGCUGUUGAUAGGAUUGGGUUUGAUGACUUCUGGGCUUAGAGUGUUUUCCUUGGGUCAGUGGACCUGAGAGUGUGAUCCAUCUGAUG
RNAcentral lists this long non-coding RNA (441 nucleotides) under Manihot esculenta (cassava). Its description in RNAcentral is "long non-coding RNA (MESC_LNC007799)". The record is from RNAcentral. Lineage: Eukaryota; Viridiplantae; Streptophyta; Magnoliopsida; Malpighiales; Euphorbiaceae.